CGGGAUAGCUCAGUUGGAGAGC
This 22-nucleotide transfer RNA is filed under the name Ileostylus micranthus. Its description in RNAcentral is "partial tRNA-Phe". Lineage: Eukaryota; Viridiplantae; Streptophyta; Magnoliopsida; Santalales; Loranthaceae. The record is from RNAcentral.